GACGAACGCUGGCGGCGUGCUUAACACAUGCAAGUCGAACGGAAAGGCCCUGCUUUUGUGGGGUGCUCGAGUGGCGACCGGGUGAGUAACACGUGAGUAACCCGCCCUUGACCUUGGGAUAACUCCACGAAACUCGGGCUAAUACAGGACAGGAGCUCCUGAUCCACGGUGGGGGUUGGAAAGUUUCGGCCGUUGGGGAUGGUUUCGCGGCUCAUCAGCUUGUUGGUGGGGUCGUGGCUUACCAAGGCUUCGACGGGUAGCCGCCCUGAGAGGGUGACCGACCACAUUAGUACUGAGGUACGGCCCAGACUCCAACGGGAGGCCGCGGUGGGGAAUAUUCCACAAUGGGCGGAAGCCUGAUGCAGCAACGCCGCGUGCGGGAUAACCGCCUUCGCGUUGUAAACCGCUUUCGCCUGUGAUGAAGCGUGAGUGACGGUAACGGGUAAAGAAGCACCGGCUAACUACGUG
Molecule: ribosomal RNA, 468 nt
Filed under: uncultured bacterium
Lineage: Bacteria
Description: partial 16S ribosomal RNA
Rfam family: Bacterial small subunit ribosomal RNA
Source: RNAcentral